This 253-nucleotide ribosomal RNA is filed under the name uncultured bacterium. RNAcentral describes it as "partial 16S ribosomal RNA". It matches the Rfam family "Bacterial small subunit ribosomal RNA", at positions 524 to 776 of the family's 1533-position model. The record is from RNAcentral.
GACGUAGGAUGCAAGCGUUGUCCGGAAUUAUUGGGCGUAAAGAGUUCGUAGGCGGUAUGUCAAGUCUGGUGUUAAAGACUGGGGCUCAACCCCAGAAGGGCACUGGAUACUGUCAAACUAGAGUACAGAAGAGGCAAGGGGAAUUCCCAGUGUAGCGGUGAAAUGCGUAGAUAUUGGGAGGAACACCAGUGGCGUAAGCGCCUUGCUGGUCUGUUACUGACGCUGAGGAACGAAAGCCAGGGGAGCAAAUGGG